This 548-nucleotide ribosomal RNA is filed under the name Isoglossa ovata. Its description in RNAcentral is "eukaryotic LSU rRNA". The stretch from base 193 to 346 matches the Rfam family "5.8S ribosomal RNA". Lineage: Eukaryota; Viridiplantae; Streptophyta; Magnoliopsida; Lamiales; Acanthaceae. The record is from RNAcentral.
CCACGUGUUUAACCCUGCCGGGGCCGUGGUGUGGGGGNNNUGUCCCCCCGCCGGUGCUUGCGCUGUGCGGGCUAAUGAACCCCGGCGCGAUACGCGCCAAGGAAAACUGAAUCGAAGCGCCCUCCCCCGUCCCAUGCCCCAUCCGCGGUGUGCACGGACGGGGGGAAGGCCGUGCCUCACUUAUGUCAAAACAACUCUCGGCAACGGAUAUCUCGGAUCUCGCAUCGAUGAAGAACGUAGCGAAAUGCAUACUUGGUGUGAAUUGCAGAAUCCCGUGAACCAUCGAGUUUUUGAACACAAGUUGCGCCCAAGCCUUCGGGCCGAGGGCACGCCUGCCUGGGUGUCACACAUCGUGUCGCCCCCCUCCCCCGCUCCGACGGAGCGGGUGGGCGGGGGCGGAGACUGGCCUUCUGUGAGCUCCGUCAUGCGCCCGGCCUAAAUGCGAUCCCCCGGCGACGCCAGUCGUGACCAGUGGUGGUGGAAUCCUCAACUCACGUGCUUUCAGUCAUGCAGANCGGUGUCNUCCGGUCNGGGCAUCACAAACGACC